UCCAACCGUCUUUGUCGGUUUAAUGUGAAUGAAACAAAACCACCUCACCUCAAAAAUCUCUCUAUGCCUCGUCAGUUCUCAAACCCCAAAAGGAAAAACCCUCAAACCCCAUUUUUCUCGCACCUGCCCGUCUCUUUCUUUCGCUCCCCUCGCCGGUAAUUGUCGAAGCUCGCCGGAGCUCUAUUGUUGGUCGUUCGUGCCGACUCAUCUCUCUCCUCUGUUCGUAUUCUGCCACCGCGGUGCUGCUCGCGAGCCACCGCGGUGCUGUUGCUAUUGCCCAUGUGUUUCUCUCUCCUCCUGCACGCUAUAACCACCGGAGUCGCGUCGUGUUGCUCGCCGGUGACUGAGCACCUCUUCUCUCUCUCCAUCGCGCGCUGUUGUUGCGGCGAUGCUGCUUGUUGAUGUUGCGGUUGUUGCUGUGGUUGAUGUAAUGCUGCCGCCGUCGGUAUUGUCUGCCCUACCGUCGUCGCAGUCUCGAUUUGCUGGAUGAUGAGAAUGCGAAGGCUAUAUCUUUAUUCAACAAUGUGGUAAAUCUCAAUGAUGCUAUUGAAGAUCCAGUGAAACAUUUAGAGCAUCUCGUUAGAGGAAUCUUUGCUGAAAAUAUAUUUGACCUUGGCUCUGCACAGCUUGCAGAGGUAUUCUCAAAGGAUGGGAUGUCCUUUCUGGCCAGAACCUUGUCCCUCGACCCUUGGUUAUUGAUGACCUUGAGACUUUCAAAUUGCAGUGGAUAUAAGAAGUCCUGGCAAAAGGUGAUUACUUUGUGGCUAAGUAGAUGACAGUGAUGGAUCCAAAAUAUCAUCGUAGGAAUUUUACCAUUUGCAAAGGAAUUACUGCGUCGUGGUACACAGGAAUUUUACCAGUUGCAGGGGCGGUGGUGAGCUGUUGCCUGAAUCAGCAAAUCCAAACACUUCUUGCAGGUGUGAUGAUGGAUGCUGUAAAAUCAUGUACCUUUGGCCUUACAAUUCUCUUUUCUUUUUUCCUUCUUUUGUAGCAAGGGUUUACCUUUGGCCUUACAAUUUUUGGAAUCUUCUAACAUUAUAUU
Long non-coding RNA from Beta vulgaris subsp. vulgaris (sugar beet), 1042 nucleotides. RefSeq lists it as uncharacterized. The record is from RefSeq and is a predicted model, not a curated record. The transcript is spliced from 4 exons. Lineage: Eukaryota; Viridiplantae; Streptophyta; Magnoliopsida; Caryophyllales; Amaranthaceae.